Molecule: ribosomal RNA, 420 nt
Filed under: uncultured bacterium
Lineage: Bacteria
Description: bacterial SSU rRNA
Rfam family: Bacterial small subunit ribosomal RNA
Source: RNAcentral
GACGAACGCUGGCGGCGUGCUUAACACAUGCAAGUUGAACGGUAAGGCCCUUCGGGGUACACGAGUGGCGAACGGGUGAGUAACACGUGGGUGAUCUGCCCUGCACUUUGGGAUAAGCCUGGGAAACUGGGUCUAAUACCGAAUAGGACCAUGGACUUCACGGUUUGUGGUGGAAAGCUUUUGCGGUGUGGGAUGGGCCCGCGGCCUAUCAGCUUGUUGGUGGGGUAAUGGCCUACCAAGGCGACGACGGGUAGCCGGCCUGAGAGGGUGACCGGCCACACUGGGACUGAGAUACGGCCCAGACUCCUACGGGAGGCAGCAGUGGGGAAUAUUGCACAAUGGGCGCAAGCCUGAUGCAGCGACGCCGCGUGAGGGAUGACGGCCUCGGUUGUAAACCGUCUUUCAGCACAGACGAAGACG